Long non-coding RNA from Oncorhynchus gorbuscha (pink salmon), 1083 nucleotides. RefSeq lists it as uncharacterized. NCBI's taxonomy places the organism in Eukaryota, Metazoa, Chordata, Actinopteri, Salmoniformes, Salmonidae. The transcript has 3 exons. The record is from RefSeq and is a predicted model, not a curated record.
CAGUACUCAGACCGCUGGUUCAACGCAGGCAGAGGAGCUGAAAGAGCUGGUUCAACGCAGGCAGGGAAGCUGAAAGAGCUGGUUCAACGCAGACAGAGGAGCUGAAAGAGCUGGUUCAACGCAGACAGAGGAGCUGAAAGAGCUGGUUCAACGCAGGCAGAGGACCUGAAAGAGCUGGUUCAACGCAGGCAGAGGACCUGAAAGAGCUGGGUCAACGCAGGCAGGGAAGCUGAAAGAGCUGGUUCAACGCAGGCAGAGGACCUGAAAGAGCUGGUUCAACGCAGGCAGAGGACCUGAAAGAGCUGGGUCAACACAGACAGAGGACCUGAAAGAGCUGGUUCAACGCAGACAGAGGAGCUGAAAGAGCUGGGUCAACGCAGGCAGAGGACCUGAAAGAGCUGGUUCAACGCAGACAGAGGAGCUGAAAGAGCUGGUUCAACAAAGGCAGAGGAGCUGAAAGAGCUGGGUCAACGCAGACAGAGGAGCUGAAAGAGCUGGUUCAACGCAGACAGAGGAGCUGAAAGAGCUGGGUCAACGCAGACAGAGGACCUGAAAGAGCUGGGUCAACGCAGGCAGAGGACCUGAAAGAGCUGGUUCAACGCAGACAGAGGAGCUGAAAGAGCUGGUUCAACGCAGGCAGAGGAGCUGAAAGAGCUGGGUCAACGCAGGCAGAGGACCUGAAAGAGCUGGUUCAACGCAGACAGAGGAGCUGAAAGAGCUGGUUCAACGCAGGCAGAGGACCUGAAAGAGCUGGUUCAACGCAGACAGAGGAGCUGAAAGAGCUGGUUCAACGCAGACAGAGGAGCUGAAAGAGCUGGGUCAACGCAGGCAGAGGACCUGAAAGAGCUGGUUCAACGCAGACAGAGGAGCUGAAAGAGCUGGGUCAACGCAGACAGAGGACCUGAAAGACCUGGUGACAUUUGACAAUAUAUUGGCAAAGAGGGACAGAACCAUGACUGAAGCUACACCACUGAGAGAGAUGGAGCUGAAACGGCAGCCUGAGUCUGAUGGGUGUGGCUCAACAAAUCAUGAUGGGUCUGGUUUGACCGCUGAGCUGAGGAUUGUGUUGCUAGGAAGACUGGA